GACGAGGGAUCCUAGCGUUGUUCGGAAUUAUUGGGCGUAAAGCGGGUGUAGGUGGCUAUGUAAGUCAAGUGUGAAAGCCUGGGGCUCAACCCCAGAAGUGCAUUUGAUACUGCGUAGCUUGAGUGCUAGAGAGGAUAGUAGAAUUGUUGGUGUAGUGGUGAAAUACGUAGAUAUCAACAGGAAUACCGGUGGCGAAGGCGGCUAUCUGGCUAAGCACUGACACUCAGACCCGAAAGCGUGGGGAUCAAACAGG
Molecule: ribosomal RNA, 253 nt
Filed under: uncultured bacterium
Lineage: Bacteria
Also listed under: 1 other name
Description: partial 16S ribosomal RNA
Rfam family: Bacterial small subunit ribosomal RNA
Source: RNAcentral